GAUGGCGGUAUGAGAGAGGUGGGGGGUUGAAGAGGAGAGGAGUGCUGGUGGGGGAUGGGGGCGUGGAUGGUUUGGGAGUGCAAAUGAGCCUGGGCGGGCUUCCCUCCGCCAGUCUCAAGCUGCGAGUCAGACGCAGAAGCUCGCUUGUCUCUAACCCCCAGUGCGCAAGUCAGUGGCAUCACAUCCGGGCAGCUGGGGCUUUCCUUGGUUGAAAGCGGGGGCGGAACCGGGGAUCCUGCCUGGAUGGGGAGCCUGCGCCUGCUUCCCUCCGUGGAUCUCGAGUUGCUGGUCAGACCAAUGCGCAAGUCAGGGAUGUCACAUCCGGGCCACCUGGGUUGACAGCAGGGGUGGAACCGGAUUCGGCCAGGAGUUGAUUUGGGAACCAGAGAACAGCAGCCUAAGUGUGACUGUAAUUUUUGGCAGCUACAGAUUCCCAAGACAACUAGGAAGGGAAAAGGAACCCUUCAAGGAAGUUCCAGGAAAAACGUCUCUCCCAAAAAGACCACCGCUUCAGGAAAACCUGAGGAAGGGAGUGGGCCAACAGUAUCCUGCCACUGUGACCAGCUGAACGAGGAACUCCAUCAAAAUGAGCCACAGCUGGACCAAAACAGUGAGGAGACCUCCACCUUCUUCAGUGUCUCCCUGAGCAGUCAGUAAUUUCAGGGCAAGCUGAGAGGUCUCCAGAGGUCUAACCCCAGAUAAAUAGCCAACAGGGUCUAGAGUACAUUUUAUACCCAACAGGGUAUACCCCAUGGUGAUCAAAAUAAAAUAAACCUGUUGUAAAAUGA
RNAcentral lists this long non-coding RNA (788 nucleotides) under Homo sapiens (human). Its description in RNAcentral is "PREDICTED lncRNA (TCONS_00276846)". The record is from RNAcentral. Lineage: Eukaryota; Metazoa; Chordata; Mammalia; Primates; Hominidae.